Molecule: ribosomal RNA, 497 nt
Filed under: uncultured bacterium
Lineage: Bacteria
Description: partial 16S ribosomal RNA
Rfam family: Bacterial small subunit ribosomal RNA
Source: RNAcentral
GAUGAACGCUGGCGGCGUGCCUAAUACAUGCAAGUCGAGCGAACAGACGAGGCGCUUGCUCCUCUCUCGUUAGCGGCGGACGGGUGUGUAACACGUGUAUAACCUACCUAUCAGACUGGGAUAACUUCGGGAAACCGGCUCUAAUACCGUAUAAUCUCUUGAACCGCAUUGUUCAAUAGUGAAAUUCGGCUUUUCUGUCUCUUCUAGCUGGAUCUGCGCCGCAUUAGCUAGUUGGUAAGGUAACGGCUUACCACGGCAACGAUGCGUAGCCGACCUGAGAGAGUGAUCGGCCGCACUGGAGGUGAGACACGGACCAGGCUCCUGCGGGAGGCAGCAGUAGGGAAUGGGCCGCAGUAGGCGAAAGCAUGACGGAACAACGCGGAGUGAGUGAUAAAGGUCUUCGGAGCGUAAAAAUCGGUUAUUAGGGAAGAACAAAUGUGGAAGUAACUAUGCACGUAUUGACGGUACCUAAUCAGAAAGCAACGGCUAACUACGUG